RNAcentral lists this unclassified non-coding RNA (471 nucleotides) under Hevea brasiliensis (rubber tree). The record is from RNAcentral. Lineage: Eukaryota; Viridiplantae; Streptophyta; Magnoliopsida; Malpighiales; Euphorbiaceae.
UUCUGUCGAUGGAGUGUGCAAAGAAAUAAUUGAACUUUGCCCCAUAAUGGUUUAACCCACUUUGGUCUUUGGUGAUAUUGACCAACUUUGAAAUUAUAAUAGGGAUGAAGUAGCCUAUUCUAAGUGUCCUCUGUUCUUCUUCGAUGAAAAAUGCCAUUUAAUUUUUUUAUUUGAAAAGGAGAAAAAUCAGUAGGAUUUCACACUUUUUUUAUUUGGCGAGGUAAAAACACAAAUACAGGAGACAUCCAAAGUUAUAUAAACUAUCGAGGCAUUGAAUUGAUGAGUCACACAAUGAAGUUAUGGAAAAGAGUGAUUGAAUGCAGACUUAGGGACACUACUAAGAUAUCAGAGAACAAGUUUGGCUUUAUGCUUCAUAGAUUUACAAUAAAGCCUAUCUUUUUGUUAACAAGAUUGAUGAAAAUUUAUAAGGAGAAGAAAAAGAAUCUAUACAUGGUAUUCAUUGACCUAGAA